AGCGAACGCUGGCGGCAGGCUUAACACAUGCAAGUCGAGCGCCCCGCAAGGGGCGCGGCAGACGGGAGAGUACCACGUGGGAACAUACCUUUUGGUUCGGAACAACUGAGGGAAACUUCAGCUAAUACCGGAUAAGCCCUUACGGGGAAAGAUUUAUCGCCGAAAGAUUGGCCCGCGUCUGAUUAGCUAGUUGGUGAGGUAACGGCUCACCAAGGCGACGAUCAGUAGCUGGUCUGAGAGGAUGAUCAGCCUCACUGGGACUGAGACACGGCCCAGACUCCUACGGGAAGCAGCAGUGGGGAAUAUUGGACAAUGGGGGCAACCCUGAUCCAGCCAUGCCGCGUGAGUGAUGAAGGCCUUAGGGUUGUAAAGCUCUUUUGCCCGGGAAGAUAAUGACGGUACCGGGAGAAUAAGCCCCGGCUAACUUCGUG
RNAcentral lists this ribosomal RNA (431 nucleotides) under uncultured bacterium. RNAcentral's name for it is "partial 16S ribosomal RNA". It matches the Rfam family "Bacterial small subunit ribosomal RNA", at positions 29 to 507 of the family's 1533-position model. The record is from RNAcentral.